UUGAAUAAACCUGGUAGGUUGUCGCUGGUCCUUUGGGGCAUGUGCACGCCCGCCAUCUUUAUCCAUCCACCUGUGCAUCAUUUGUAGUCUUGAGGGGUUAUCGGUUGUGGUCUAGGCCACAACCAUUCUCUCGGGUCUAUGUCUUUUCAUACACCACAGUAUGUUGUAGAAUGUACUUGAUAGGCCUCAGUGCCUGUAAAACCCCAAUA
RNAcentral lists this unclassified non-coding RNA (209 nucleotides) under uncultured Echinoderma. RNAcentral describes it as "sequence contains ITS1". Lineage: Eukaryota; Fungi; Basidiomycota; Agaricomycetes; Agaricales; Agaricaceae. The record is from RNAcentral.